CUCUCGCCUGCCUUCGGCCCUUAGGCUCCGGGAGAUUGCAAAUAACCUGCUUUCUUUCUGUUCCCAGGUGGCGUCGGACCCCUGUCAGAGAGUAAAUCUCAAGUAAGGUACCUGCCAUCGGCAGAUUUGAGCUUUCUUCUUGGACACCUAAUACCCACAGUCCUCCAGGCUCCGGUAGACUGCAAAUGACCUGCUUUCUUUCUGUUCCCGGGCUGCGUUUGGACCCCUGUCGGAUAGUAAAUCCCAAGCUCCGGUAGACUGCAAAUGACCUGCUUUCUUUCUGUUCCCGGGCUGCGUUUGGACCCCUGUCGGACAGUAAAUCCCAAGAAUGGAACAGAUAAGAAGAUACUGAAAUUGGACGGUGCUGCCGUGCGGCUGCCGCAGGACACCUUUAAUAUCCCUGUUUCUCAGGCUGUAGAUGAAGGGGUUCAGCAUGGAGGUGAUCACCGUGUACAUCACUGAGGCCACUGCAGCCUUUCUCGGGGAAGAUGACACAUCUGAACUGAGGUACCCUCCAAAGCCUGUUCCGUAAAAUCAGCAAACAACUGACAGGAUAACUUCAGGAAGUGGGUAUUAAUUCUCACGGUAUAAGUGAAGACAUUAAGCACCAGAGUUUAAGUAGCUUGAUCCACUGAAAGAGAUUCAACUGUGUGGAACCUAUGCCGUGGAGAAUUGCUUUCUGCCAUUGUUAUCGUCCAGCAGUUGCCGAAUAGCUCUGACCUGAGCAAAGCAGUGAAACGCGGUGCUGUUGAGUGGGUUGCCACUGCACCUUUUUCAACUACUCUAGUCUUGUGGAGAAAAUACCCCUUCUAAAUUUUUUCUUCAUUGAAUACUCUCCCUCAGCUCCAGAGUACCAUAUAGAGUUUUCUUGUAUUUUAGAGUUACUGUUUUAUCAAAGUUUACCAGUCUUUUGUAUUACAUUUCUCCUGUCUAAAAAAAAAAAAAAAAAAAAAAA
RNAcentral lists this long non-coding RNA (955 nucleotides) under Homo sapiens (human). RNAcentral's name for it is "long independently transcribed non-coding RNA 1198 (LINC01198)". The record is from RNAcentral. Lineage: Eukaryota; Metazoa; Chordata; Mammalia; Primates; Hominidae.